This 1933-nucleotide long non-coding RNA is filed under the name Sus scrofa (pig). Its description in RNAcentral is "lncRNA (ENSSSCG00040002303.1)". The record is from RNAcentral. Lineage: Eukaryota; Metazoa; Chordata; Mammalia; Artiodactyla; Suidae.
GUACAGAGGAGGGCACCUGGCACCUGGGUUGGAACAGAAGCAUGUAAACCACAGACUUGCUCACCCCAUGCCCUCUCUGCAUCCAUAGUGACCUGGCAGUGGGACUCUCCACUCUGGGCAUGGGGGAGGGGGCACAUGAGAUGAUUGAGAUGGGGCUGUUUACCCCUCGGGACGCUGGGGAGGCAGAAAGCACAGGCCUAAAAUGACUGUCUACAUUUCUGAGAACACAUAAGAGUCUUUGAGUUCUUAACAAUUGUCAGGUCCUGUUCUCACCAGGGACACCACCCCAUGAGGCUGGUAUUAUUAUUCUCAUCCCAUGUUAUGGAUGAGGAAACUGAGGCCCCAGGGGAAGAUGAAUGAUGUGGCCAAGGUCACAGAGCCGGUCGGGACAGAGUUGGAAUUUGAAGCCAAGCCAUGGGGCCCUGGAGCUUGGCACAGUACCUGUACACUGAGAUUGCCAUUUGGCUCAGAAGGAGGCCAUUUUAGCAAAGUGAAAGGAGGGAGAAUUUUCAGGACUUUUGCUUCUUACUCCUGAAUGGAAACCUGUGACUCUGAAUGGGUCCUGUCUGCAAAGAAUUUAACAUCAGCGUUCCUGUUGUGACUCAUGGGUUCAGGAUCUGGCGUUGCUGCAACCUGUGGCUUAGGUUGCAGAUGCAGCUCAGAUCCUGUGUUGCUGUGGCUGUCGGGUAGGCUAUCAGUUGCAGCUCUGAUUCCACCCCCCACCAGGGAACUGUAGGUGCAACUGUAAAAAGAAAAAUAAAAGAAUUUAAUAUCAACAAUAAUCAGGAGCACUGGGGCCAGGUCUUAAAUAGGAACCUUAGGAAGAUUUUGUGAUGAGCAGAAUUACAGAUGAUGUAAGAUCACACUUCUUCAAGGCUAGGUCUUUGGAAAAAGAAAGCAAUCAUUUCAAUGGGCACAGGUGGCCUCUCUCUGCAUGUCAGGCCAGCACCUCCCUAGGACACUGAUGGGUCAAGGGGAGAAAUUGUGGACCACUGCAAGUUUUGCAGAAGAGGGAAUUUCAUUUCAUUGCUCCAUGCAGACUCGCCUCUGACCUUGAGAUGUGGCCCUCGGAUGCCUGUAUCCCUUAACCAGAGCUUGUCACUGCCCCCUCACAGCAGAGGCCACAGUGGCCCUCCACUCUCCAGUCUCCUUUUCUCCCCCCUGUACUAGAACUCUAGUUUAUAAUUGAUUUGAGUAAGAUAAAGUCUGCAUUUCCCAGCCUCUCUUGCAGCUGUAUGAGCCAGGCCCUGUGCAUUUAUUCUGAGCCAGGCCCUAUGCUAAAUGCUGGUUAAGAUAAAGGUACAUAAGGUGUGAACCUGUCCUCAGGCAGCCAGUCUGUCCAUCAGUCAUUGAUUUGGCAAUCUGUUGAGUACUUAAUUGAUCUAUCAAUCAAUCAGUAUUUCAGCUACUUGAUCAGUGGCCAGACUUUUGCCUUGUCAGCCAUUGGUCCUAGUAUUGAACUCUCAGGAUGCAUGGAGAGGGGACUUUGGACACAGUCCUGGGAUUGUAGAAUUUGAUGCCAGGCAUAAGGAUGAACCUCCAAGAAAUCAACAUACCGUUAUCUUACUUCAUACACAAAAAUUAGCCAAAGACUUAAAUGUAAGACAUGAUGCUAUUUUCUUCUCCCAGAAUGAAAUGUAAGGGAAAAACUCCUUCACAUUGGUAUUGGUAGUGCUUUUUUUGGAUAUGACACCAAAAGCACUUACAACGAAAGCAAAAAUGGGCAAGUGGAAUUACAUCAAACUAAAAAGCUUCUGUACAGCAAAGGAAACAGUCAACAAAAUAAGGGAGGUCUCUGAUGGCUUAGCGGGUAGAGACUUCUGUGUUUCUCACCGCUGUGGCUCUGAUUGCUGCUGUGUGGCGUAGGUUCAAUGCCUGGCCCAGAAAUUUCCACAUACUGCCUGUGUGGCCAAAAAAAAAAAAAAAAAAAAAA